Non-coding RNA from Camellia sinensis, 703 nucleotides. The record is from RefSeq and is a predicted model, not a curated record. NCBI's taxonomy places the organism in Eukaryota, Viridiplantae, Streptophyta, Magnoliopsida, Ericales, Theaceae.
UUAUUUAAUCUCUCACGCCUCUUGCUCACCCAAAAAAAUCUCUCACGCCUCACUCUUCUGUGUCUCUUCUCUGUCACGCCUCACCCCUCUGCCCUCCUCUCUGUUACUGGAGCACCACCGCGGUUAGACGAGCACACCGCAAGGGUUACAGAAGCACCACCGUCGCUUUGUCUCGGGUAGUUUCCGUAUGUUUAGCAAUGAAGAUGUUACGAUUGGUGCAUGGAUGCUUGCAAUGAAUGUCAACCAUGAGGACAACCGACAACUUUGUGAACCAGAAGGUACUCCAUCAUCUAUUGCUGUUUGGGAUAUUCCAAAGUGUUCAGGUUGGUAAUUAACUAAUUAUUCUCAUGGUUGGGAUGCGUGUUCUCUUAGAAACAGCCUCCAUAUGCUGAAAUCUAAUAAAAUCCCACCUUGGAGAAAGAGGAAAAAUAAAGGAAAUAAUUUAUCAAGAAUUUUAACAAGGCCCCUCAAAACCCACUGAUUGACUCAAAGAAGUUAGAAAGGAUAAAAAGUUGAUGUGGCAUGGGAGAUAGACAUUCUGUAUUAAUGAAAUUGUUUUGUUAUGUUGCGGCAUUGCCCUUAAUAUGUAAUUUAGAUUUUAUUUUUUAUUUUUUUGCAUUUAAUUUGGUUUUGUGGUUGUUUUCCUUUGAAUGGAUGUCAUUGAAACAAAAGCUAUUUGUGCAAAGAAUUGAUUUUUAAAGAA